AACCAUUCUCACCUGCGGCUAGACCUGCGGAAGGAUCAUUACAGAGUUGCAAAACUCCCUAAACCAUUGUGAACGUUACCUAAACCGUUGCUUCGGCGGGCGGCCCGGGUCCUUCCCGGCGCCCCUCGGCCCUCGCGGGCGCCCGCCGGAGGUAAACCAAACUAUUGCAUUGUAUGGCCUCUCUGAGUCUUCUGUACUGAAUAAGUCAAAACUUUCAGCAACGGAUCUCAGAUCGGAAGA
Molecule: unclassified non-coding RNA, 240 nt
Filed under: soil metagenome
Description: partial contains 5.8S ribosomal RNA, internal transcribed spacer 2, and large subunit ribosomal RNA
Source: RNAcentral